RNAcentral lists this small RNA (103 nucleotides) under Gopherus agassizii (Agassiz's desert tortoise). RNAcentral's name for it is "TUC338 (ENSGAGG00000004414.1)". The record is from RNAcentral. Lineage: Eukaryota; Metazoa; Chordata; Testudines; Testudinidae.
CUAUUUAUCCACAGAAGAGGUACAAUGUAGCCAGAAGCAGUGCAGGCUUUCCCUAGUCACGUGCCUUUUCCCUGACUUGCAGGCAUCCCUGUAGGGGUGAGUG